AAAGCACAAACUGUAAAACUGUAGUCUUGCUAUCUUCAGUUGAGACCAACAUGACCCUCAACAUUCACAUUAAACUACACAUUCAACCAUCAUAUCAGUAAAAAUCUUCCAAUGUUAUAAAUAUAUCAAUCAACUAUCCCUUCUCCUCUGCAAGGGUUAAGACGCACUGGAGAGGGGUAAAAUAUCUUAAGCAAGAGCAAAAGCAUAAUCAUAAGUCCAGAAAACUGAUAAAAACCUUUCCCAUUGUCUAGAGUUUCAAAUUUAUAACAAACAACUUCCUUGUUGCAUCCAAUUCCCUGCAUAACAAUCCAUUCCAUUCCAUCGUGCAAUUAAAAAAAAUCCUAACAAAUGCUAAGAUUUCAAAUAAAAAGACCUACUUUUUAGCCGAUUUCUUCUUCGAAUUCACAGGCUGAAUCUGAGGCUUGGGAUGCUUCUCGGCUUCGCUGGGGUCCAACCAUUGGAGAAAGUAACGAUUAAACCAAGGCCAAUUGGGGACAGUAACCAAUGUAGUGAGAACCACUCCCCCAGCGUAAAUUUGGAUCAUCAUUUGAAACGAUCCCAUUACGUAGCCAACAGAGAAGGCCACCACCGCGAAUACUAUUAGCAUGAUCUGCAUCAGCUGCUCCGCUAGCUUCUGUCCCUGCCAAUCCAUCUAGAACGAAACAAGCAAACCAAAUUCAAAAACCAGAGAUUGUCCCUAGAUCACCAAUUCACCAUCAGUUAUUGAAUUACAGUAAUCAAAUUUUGGGGGAAGGGUUUCGUAAUCUGACCUAGAAUUCACGGAUCUCGUAUCAGGAGAUAUGGUGUCUGUCCGACAGAGAAGGGAUUCGUAUGGAAGUUGCAAGUGUGUUACCCCUAUUUUUUUUUAUUGAAUAUUUAAUAGAAUAGAUGACGACCGUUGGAUCAGAUUACUGGAAACGGAAGGCAGAGAUCAAGUAGCGUUAGGCACAAACAUAGAGCCAUGGUCUCCUUUUUAUCUGAAAACUUGAGCAAAUUAGGCGCGCUGCCUUUACUCACAAA
This 1020-nucleotide unclassified non-coding RNA is filed under the name Hevea brasiliensis (rubber tree). Lineage: Eukaryota; Viridiplantae; Streptophyta; Magnoliopsida; Malpighiales; Euphorbiaceae. The record is from RNAcentral.